This 305-nucleotide ribosomal RNA is filed under the name uncultured bacterium. RNAcentral describes it as "bacterial SSU rRNA". It matches the Rfam family "Bacterial small subunit ribosomal RNA", at positions 338 to 660 of the family's 1533-position model. The record is from RNAcentral.
CCUACGGGGGGCAGCAGUGGGGAAUAUUGGACAAUGGGGGGAACCCUGAUCCAGCGACGCCGCGUGAGUGAAGAAGUAUUUCGGUAUGUAAAGCUCUAUCAGCAGGGAAGAAAAUGACGGUACCUGACUAAGAAGCCCCGGCUAACUACGUGCCAGCAGCCGCGGUAAUACGUAGGGGGCAAGCGUUAUCCGGAUUUACUGGGUGUAAAGGGAGCGUAGACGGCUGUGCAAGUCUGAAGUGAAAUGCCGGGGCCCAACCCCGGAACUGCUUUGGAAACUGUACAGCUAGAGUGCAGGAGGGGUGG